This 591-nucleotide unclassified non-coding RNA is filed under the name Bombus terrestris (buff-tailed bumblebee). RNAcentral's name for it is "misc RNA ENSBTSG00005022897.1". Lineage: Eukaryota; Metazoa; Arthropoda; Insecta; Hymenoptera; Apidae. The record is from RNAcentral.
GAAUCCAUGUUACGCCUGUCUUUCGAAAACUUUUCCUCGCAUACUUAUCCAUCGCUGCUGAUAAGCUUCGUAUUGCUCCAUUUAUCAGAGAAGUUGCGAUAUACCGUAUUUGCGGAACUUUGCCUUCAGAUCCAUUAAUUUCGAAUCCGUGCGACACCUUUCUCUCAAUUUACCAGAAAUUCUCCUUUCCCAAUUAUCCAUCAUUAUGCUUUCGAGUACUCGGUUCAUUUGAAAACUUCACAUUAAACUCGUAAUUACAAUAAUAUUAUCGUCGAAACUUUACACUUCCACGUCCAUUAAUUUUCAAUCCAUGAAAUAUCUGUCUGUAAAUUUAUCAAAUAUCUCUGUCUUGUAAUUAACUACCGAUGCUAACGAAGCUUCUUAUCGUUUGGAACAUCCAACGAAAGCCACGAAUCCAGUAAUAUUACUAGCCGAAUCGUACACCCAAAUCUGUGAAAUAAUUUUCGAGUCGACGUGUAAUUAAAACAAUUUUCAAAUCGAAGAUUAAUUCAAAUAAAUUCCAAUCGACUUUACAGUUAACUGUCGAUUUACCAAAAAAUUCUCAAAGCUGUUCAUCGCUACGAAUUUCCU